Peromyscus californicus insignis is the source of this 703-nucleotide long non-coding RNA. RefSeq lists it as uncharacterized. The record is from RefSeq and is a predicted model, not a curated record. The transcript is spliced from 2 exons. NCBI's taxonomy places the organism in Eukaryota, Metazoa, Chordata, Mammalia, Rodentia, Cricetidae.
CACCACUAUGUUCGUCUGCACAUCAGGGCCUACCGGCUCCCUAGGCCCGAAGGGGCGGAGAUACUGGGGGGGGGGCUGUUACCUAGGCAACAGGCUCCGUACCCCCGCCUUUCCUUUCGCCUCCUCUUCCUUGUCAGCCUCAUCUCCUGUGGGAUUUGCAUCUUACUCUUUUAGCGCCGGAAGUUCUGGACGCCUGGCUCCCGAGUAGUGACCACAGAGACCCAAAUCCUCCGGAUUCUAGAGCGUCGCUGACCCGGGCCCCAGCCCGUGGUCUGGAUGCGCACGGCAUAGGGACCGCGACAGAGCUAGCACCCUGUCGUUCAUUUCCCUGCCAUCCCGCUACGGUCAACUGGAGAAGGCAAAAGUGAGCGCUGUUAACGAGAGCUGCAAAGGUUCUCGGUAGGCAGCUCCGGUGGGGCCCACUCCAAAGAGGUCUGGGUUUUCCAGUGAGACAAGAAAAGUGUGGAGGGGAAAACUGGGAUGAAACUCAGUAAAGUCUGAGUGCCCGCUUGACUAUUACGGAGUUCUCAACUAAAAGCUGAAGGUUGGGUUCCGACCAGAAAUGAAUUUUGAUGUGAGCUCUCAGCUGCUGCUCCCAGUGCCAUACGCACCUGCCUGCCACCAUACUACCCACCAGGAUGGUCACGGACUCUUUAACUCUGCAACCAUGACCUACAAAUUAAAUGCUUUCUUUUAUAAUUUG